This is a non-coding RNA of Vicugna pacos (alpaca), 8961 nucleotides long. The record is from RefSeq and is a predicted model, not a curated record. NCBI's taxonomy places the organism in Eukaryota, Metazoa, Chordata, Mammalia, Artiodactyla, Camelidae.
AUAAGGUAUUGAAUAUAGUUCCCUGUGCUCUGCAGAAGAAAUUUGGUUUUUAUUCAUUUUAUAUAUAGUAGCUAAUAUUUGCAAAUCUCAAACUCCCAAUUUGGGAGAUUCUUGCUGAGCACAAGGAACAGGAAGGAGGGCACUGGGGCUGCAUCAGCCAGGGUGCAGAUCAGUCUACCACUCCAAGGGUCCUGUUGCCUACCGAGGAAGCUGAGGCCUGGCAAGUUCAGCAAAUCCCGGGCUUUGGUGCUGACCGACAGGCACGUGGAGGUGGCCACACCCACAGCAGGCUGAGAAGGAGCCCUGGAGUAGCGGGCAUCAGAAACGAUUCAGGCAGCAAUUAUUCAGUCUCAGAAAAGUCUCUCUGGAAGGACCAGUUCUGUCCUGUAAACGUGAGGAGCAUUCGCUGAGGUCGGGGCCCACGGGGGGCACGUCGGUUACGAGCAUUUGAGGAACGCUCAUCAGGAAAUGGCCAUCCUUCUCCACAGACUAAAACCUUCCUGGCAGAGACCACACAUUUUGAUCGUACUUCCCAGAAGGUCUCAGGUUCUCUGGGUCCAUGUGUAUGAAUUAUCUUGAGUGUGGUCAGAUGUCGCCAAGUCACACGAGCCUCCCUAAUUAACAGGGUUCGUAAGUGCUCACUGCGCGUCAGCGCUGCGGAACCAGCUUUUCCUCUGCUUGGCUUUUGUGUAGCUCCCUUUACCACUGCGGACAAUCCGUUAUUUUAUUGUCACGACAAGACUGUGGAGAAGCUGAGUAUGAGAGACAGCGCGUCUUUCUCUCUCUUUCUCCUUUCUUUCCUUCCUUCCUUCCCUCCUUGAGGAAAUGGAAUGUUAAACAGUGUUUGAUAUGAUAGAAAGAGCUGGAAUCCCAGCGACCCAGGCAGCCUCCUCUGUGUGGUCUGGUCAGACCCCUCCAGACAGGGACGUCGGCACCAGGUCCGGCUGCGCUGGUGUUGGGUGGGACAGCUGGGGGCUGUGUCCGGAUCUGCAGACCCUCUGUGGGGUCCCGGUGCCUCCUGAGGACACGGUGGUGAUGGAGGGAGAGCUCGGAGACUGGCGUCCAGGCCGGGGAGAGUCAUUAACCAGCUGCGGAAACUUGGGGAAAUCAGUUUCCGUCUCUAGCCUGCCGCGGUCUCAUCUGGAAAGGAGAGACGUUACGUUUCGUUGAUUUAAGCGAUAUUCCUACGGCUGCCAUCUCCUGCUGGUGCUGGUUCUGAGCGCUGUACAAACAUCAGCUCGUUUAAUGCUCCAGACCGCCCUCCAAGGUAGGUAAGACUGUCCCCAUUGUACUGAUCAGGAAACGAAGACACAGGAAGGUGAAGCAGCCUGCUCAGGCCCAGGCCGGAGCUGGCAGAGCCACUGCAAGUCCAAGCAGGCGGGCUUUUAAGUUCCCCACGCCCCUGCCUCCCAGGGCGAGGUGUGUAAGUUCCCUCCUCGCUCACGCAUCUGAUGAGUGUGAUUUUAGGCGGUGAGAUUUCAGCCUGUCUGGAACACUCCUGCUCUAAUCCAUUAAAUCAAACUGCACGCAGGCAUUUAUAAUCCUGCCCCUACUUGGGGCAGAGCCCCCAACAGACGCAACCACUUGCGAGCUGGCCUGGACGCUGGCUUACACCCAGGGUGGAGAAUGCACCUCUGUGUGCACUGAUACCCCAGUGAUUCAUGGUUUUAAACUCCUGGAAAACUGUAGGUGCUCACGUAGGCGGGGUGGCUGGUCCUGAGCCCCCCUCUCUUCUCAAGAGUUCACCUGCUCCCCUGAAGGUUCCAGUCACCUCUGCUUGGAUGACCCCAAACUGUCAUUAGGUGAAGUUAGGUUAAGAAGGGGCCACAAGCACCUCUUCUCACCUGCUCCCCCGUUUCCCACCCCCUCCCUGGAGGCUGGAACUUCCCACAGCCCCCCCCCGUACAGAGGUGGGGGCCCCUGUGUGUGAGCCCAGAACCCACCCUGAGGCCGCUGGGCUGGGGCUCCCCUCCAGCGCCUGGCUCACCACCUCUGGAGGGGCCCGUGGAAGCUCCUCUGGGGGACCUCUUGUCCCUGAGCCAUUGUGUUUCCUACGUGCUCUCAGACUCCUCCCCCCCCCAGCUCGGACUCGAGCUAAACCACUUCCUCAUCUCUCUCUAAGUCCAUCUCAGGGGACUCAGGUCCACGGUUGGUGGCCCCUCUGUCCUCGGGGGCCUGGCUGCCUCGCCCCUGCGGUCGUGGCUCUCAGUCCUUGCUGUCCCCGACCUUCCUCCCCCGACGUGACCCUGUGUCUGUCUCCCACUCUCUGUCUGGUGUUUCCUGUCGGUGACCCUGACCCACGGAGCUGCAGUCCUCCUGUCAGUACGGGACCAACCUCCCGGAAAACGGCCUCGCCCGUUGAGAGCUCUCAUCAAGUCCCUUUUCUUCGUCCAUGCGUAAAAGAACUGUCCGUGCGCAUAUCUUCUGGGUUUGGUUUGGUUUUGCUAAAACACAGGGAAGCUUACAAUGCAUUUUUUUACACCUUGUUUUUCUGCUUAAAAUUAGAUCUUGUAAUUUUUUCACACGAGACCAGAGAUAUCUACUUCCUGCUUUCAUGUCUGUAUAGUGUUUUAUUAUAUACACAGAUCGUAAUUUAUUUAACAGAGUCUUGACUGGUGGACAGUUGCUUCUGGUUAUGAGCUGUAACAGCAGAUGCUGCACAUAAAUGCCAGUGUGUCUGCACGUGUGUAUAUGUGCUUAUGAAUACAUGUGUGUUUGCACACGUGUAUACGUGUGUGAGUAUGUGUGUACAACCUACAUAUGUUCGUGCAUCUCUUUGAGUAUAUUUGUAGAAUAAAUACAUGACAAAGUAACCCCUGAGGUGAGGAAUACAUUCAUUUUAUUCGUUUUUAAUGUAUUAAAAUUGAUUAAUUUAGCAUCCAAAAAAGUUGCGUUGAUUUAGUCAUAACAAAACUGUUUCAUAUUCCCUUUUAAAUUGUUGCAUGUUGGGUGGGUAAACAACCCCAUCGCAUCGUUUUAAUUUGUAUUUUUUAAAUGUGAGUGAGUCUGAGGAUCAGUUUGUAUUUCUAAGCCUCUUGUGUUUCUUUGUCUGUCUGUUUACGUGCAUCGGUGGGUGUUCUGUUGGGUCUUUGUCCUUUUAGGAUUGACUCGUAAACUUUCUUUAUGUUUUUAGGCAUCAGUCUUAUGUCAUAUGCAUUGUAAGUAUUUCCCCAGUUUUGUUUUAUGCUACUUUUUUCCUGAAAAUGUGUUCAAUUUUUUAUGUAUUGAAAUCUGUUCCUUAAUGUCUUCUUUCUUUUGUCUUUUCUUUUCUUUUUUUUUAAGACGUUAUAUAUUUAGAGAAGUUUUUGGUUCCCAGCAAAAUUGAGAGGAAGGUACAGAGGUUUCCCAUAUGACCCUCCUGCCCCAACUCCAGCGCCCCCUUUAUCAGCAUCCUUCACCAGGUGGUCCAUUUGUUACAGUGAUGUACCUCCAUCAGCACAUCAUGAUCACUCCAAGUCCACGGUUUGCAUCAGGCUCGCUCUUGGUGCUGCACACGCCAUCGGUUUGGACAGAUGUACAAUACGAUGUACACACACCAGCGUAGGACUGGACGGUAUAGUUCCCUUGCCAUAAAAAUCCUCUGUACUCUGCCUACUCCUCUCCACACCUUCCACCCUAACCCCUGGCAAACACUGAUCUUUUUACUGUCUCCACACAUUUGCCUUUUGCAGAACGCCAUGUAGCUGGACUCACAGUGUGCAGUGUUUCCACACUGGCUCCUUUCACUUGGUAACAUGCACUUCCGUUUCCUCCAUGUCUUUUCAUGGCUUGCUAGCUCAUUUCUUUUUAGUGCUGAAUAAUAACUCACUGUCUGGAUACACCACGGUGUAUUUAUCCGUUCACCUACUGAAGGACAUCUGGGUUGCUUCCAAGUUUUUGUGAUGACUAAAGCCGCUAUAAAUAUCUGAGCGCUUCCAAUUUUCUUGUUUUGCUUUGAAAGUUUGUCUCAGUUCCAAGAUAAAUUUAAAAAAAAUUUAGAUCCUAAUUUUCUUCUAGGUUGUGAUUUUACUUUUUGCCCUUAUUCUUUAAUCCAUUUGAAAUUAUUUUAGUGUUAGAAUAGGUAUUAAUGUGUUUCUUCAGCUGACUUUGGACUUAUUUUGAUGGCAAGGGUUACAUUCUGCUCUUCUUUGAAGUCUAUCUAAGAUGGAACAAAAUGUAUGGCAUAUAUGGCACUAAGUACUCUACCUGUUAGCUGCCAUGAUACGUACUUGCUUUAAUGAAUAUGUUGCCGUACCGCUAGCAUGUAGGGACCAUUAAUGUAGUAAUGACAGCUACCAAUUAUGUGCUGGGUAGACUCUGCAAAUUUUAACCAUUUUAGAUCCAACAACCUUGUAAGGCCUGUUAUACUGUCUCCACUUUAUUGAUAAGAGCAUGGAUGACCUCAAGAUCACACAUCGUCAGAGUGGCAACGCUGGGGCUCGAACACAAGUUGGUGUAUCUUCAAAACACCAAGGUUCCCCACAUCCACUACUGCUGCUCUCAGCGGCGAGAGGAGGUGAACGAUGUGUGGAAAUACGGAGUCACCUCUUUCCUGUCCACUAGCUGGAAUUUACAGUUCUCACGGUUCAGUCUUCACAUCAAAUAUUUUAUUGAAUUGGAUUUAAACCUUUUUACCGGCUACUGAGCCCGAUGAGGUAAGACUUAGUAAGUGCUGUGUGUUGGCUUCUGUCCCAGCGCAGCGGCUACAAGCACUUUGCAGUGAUAAUUUCCCCCUAAUUGGUUGUCACUAAUGCACUGCCAUUCUGGAAUUUGUCACUUACCGAAAUGUGCCUUAGCAAAUGGACCGUGCUCUCCACCUGAAUGCACAUUGACACACGCUGAAAGCAGCUCGGCGAGAGGCAAGCGGGAUUAAGAAGAAGAAGAUGACUUGCAGGAUAUGCUGGGUGGGCAGUAGGUGACCUAGUGGGUAGCCGCCUUCUACGAGAUCUCUUUUUGGACGAGGGAGUAUGGCUGGAAGAACAGGGACUGGGGAUCAGGAGACUGGUGGAGAGACGGGGCUGGACCAAAGUCAGCGUUUGUCUCCAGGGUUCGUCUUCCUUCCUCAGAGACCCAUUUUCUCAGAAGCAACACGGAGAGACUUGCUUGGAUCUGUCGUUUCAGCCUGUGCUCUGCGGCUACUUGGGGUCAUUGUGAGUAAGAAACCGGAGGGAGCCAGGAGGGGUCUGAGUCCCCUGCGCCAGCUCAACCUCACAGCCCCCUGCUUUGCCCAUUUUCACAUCUUACGUUUCCAUGGUGAACGACAUGCCGACCAUCGGAAGGGAGGCUCCCCCAGGAGGGCUCCAGUGAUGACAUUCUGAGGUCUUACUCCUCGUAUUCCAUCUCCAGCAGCCCCCAGGGCGCGUGCUCCGAUGAAGGUUAGCAGGACAAGCACAGCGCAGGCUGCACGUGUGGUUUCCCAGCAAAUCCCACCGGCCAAGCCUUUCCAGGAAGCCCUUCCCAAUCAAGCAGAAGUCAGACGUUCGCGAGGGCAACCCCAGAACGCGAGGGCCACGCCGCCGCUCAUUCCCUGCCUGGUUCCGGGCGCACCGCUCCACUUCCGGUCUGCACUGGCAUCUCCUGUCCUGGAAGGCCGGCUUCCUGGACCUAAUGGUUCUGAGUCCAUUCAGUCCUGGCCUGGCUCAUACUCAUCAGAAGGAAGAGGCGUGGCUUCUUCACCAUGUGUUUUCAAGGACCUUCAGCUUUGUCUUCCAUUUCCAUCUCCGAGGCUCCCACGAUGCUGGCCGCCUUGGCAGCCCCCGCAGCGCGGCUCAUGGUGCAUUUUGGUUGCCGUUUCGUGACUCAGUGUCGUGAGUUUCUCUCUUCGGACUGUCCUUCUAGAAUCAGCAGGAAGAAGGAGAAGGUGACCAAGGCAGAAUGGAAGGUGGUUGAACUUCUCUCUUUUUUUAAAAACACACAGGGAUUGAAGAAAUCUGAAUAAGUGUGGAGGGUCAGGGCAAAGUCACUGAGGGAAAGAACAAGAUAGGAGGUUUAAAGAAAGAGCAGAGGGAUGAAGCAACGCCCUUAAAGUGGUGGAGACAGGGCGGGGUCAGAGUUCAGCUAGGAGGUGGGCGGGAGGGGUUCGGCUGGAUGGGAAAGGUGUCCACUGUGUCCCACUGUUGAAAAUUUAGCGGGAAAAGCCCCUCCCUCUCCAGCCCAGGGAAAAGCUGGGGAGGGUGUCCCAUGGCAGAACACAGAGCCUGUUUGGAGAGGCACUAACCCAAAGCAAGAAAAUAAGCAAAAAUUUAAAUAAUUUUAAAUGUCCAAAAGAGGGUGCAUGAGAAAUUAAUUCAAUGAUAAAUUGUCCUGGAUUUUAAAAUAAGAUAAAGAAAUAUCAGCCUGACACAAUUUAUUUUUUUCUGAGCAAUGAUUUUUUUGUUGUUGUUCCUUCUGUCCCGACAAAAUGGAACAGAGUGGACACCUUUCCCAUCCAGCCAGAUCCCUCCAGCAUCCUCUCUCCCCCGCGUUUCUGCAUCAGCGCGUGCGAACAGUCCCCAGGGGCGUUGCACUGUCCGUGCAGCAGCACCUGGGCAGCUCUGAAGUCCUCCACUCUGCAGAGUCCUCUGGGCUCCUUGAAUAUGAACAGGUUGUUUUCUGAACAAACCAUUAGGAAACCUGGGCGGACAAGUUUACUUAUGGGACAAAGGGGCAGACCAUUUAUAAUUAUGGGGUCUCCUGAGAAAUCCUGAAAUCUGGAUGGAUGGAGCAGAGCAACCUGCCCUCUGGAGGGAAGUGGGCUCCACACUUGGAAAACAGGCCAAGCUUGGCUGCGGGAAGCUCUCAGACAACGCCAAGGACACGGGCAAGAGGCAAGCUUCCUGCUACGUGCCAGAUCCCGUAGGAGGAGCUUGUGUCUGUUAGCUGGUCUUCCUAAAACCAUGGUAUAGAUAUGAUCAUCUUCACGUGGAACUGGUAAUUUCGCGUCUCUCUGGGAUGGUUUGCCAAAACACCCACGGCCAGCAAAGGGUGCCACGUAAUUCUAACCCAGCUGAGACAAGUUAUGAAGCCAGCUCCUGUCCCACAUGCCGGGACGUGUCCAGUCAUCCCGACCCCUCUCCUGGUCCACGUCAUCCCUUCUAGGGACUAGUGGCCUGAUUCCAGUAAGAAUAGGAUUCAGAUCGCUCAGCCUCGUCACAGCCAGAUCGUUGACUCCUCCUGCCUUUGUCACCUGGGAUCUCAUCUGGAGUUCUGUCUCCAGAUUUCCCUGACUUUGGGUCUGUGCUUUAUCCUCUCCCUCAACUCUCUCUUAUACCAGAGGACACAUUUGCCUUCUUGGAUCUGAUGCUCUCUGACCCACCUCCAUUAAGGUCUGAGCUCACCCUGGGGGCCUCUGGCUCCUGCUGACCCAGCCUGGUCCUGGGACCCAGCCUGUCACUGGACAUCUUGACCCCCUGCACCUCCUCAUCCUCCACCAUACAGGAUUCUGUGGUGUCGAGUGGCAGUUGGGUGUGCAGUGGGAUUCCUCCAGGAGACACCUAGAAGAGGAAGAAGGUGAACUCAGAGCAGCCAGAGCUGUGCCUCAGGCCCCGAGGUCAUGCACUGGCCAUGGAGUGAGAGGAGAGGAGGUCUGUCACACGGUCCCCCCUGGGUAGCCUGCAGGAGGGUCCUCACCCUUACUGGGAAGGAGCCUGAGGCAGCUGGGCUGCAGAGUCUGCCUUUACUGGCUGCUGGACCCAGUGUUCCACAUGGUCACCCACUGUCCUAGUCAGAGGCUGUCUGAUAUCUGACCUGCCCUUGUGGGCUGACUGUCCCGGCAGAGCCAGUGAGGUUAUGAAUGGCUCAUGUCAAAUCUGACCUCUUAAGUGCUGACUUCCAGCCUUUGUCAUGUGCUUUGUAGAAGCAGAGCAGACCAGCUAUUUCAGACUAUGCCAAUAAAAUUGCUCAUAGAGUGAAAGAACCACUGGCCUUUUUUGACUUACAUCAACGCACAAUGCUGUUUGUCAAAUGGGCUUGGAGGUUCUCCCUUUGAAAUUCCAAGCUGUAAAUAAGACAGGCAUCUUUGCCUAGGGGGUGCCCGCCUCCCUACACCCAUUUUGAUAAAGAGUCUAGUAAAAUCAAUGAGGUGGAAACUGACGGCCUGAGAAGAGUGAGGAAGGGUUUGACUUAACCUUGGCAUAUGUUGGAUCAGGGGCUCUGAGGUGGCGAGGUAGAGGUGUUCUGAUAGCUGUUUGUAACUAGCUGUUAAGUUAUUCUUUUACGAAAAAUAUAGGGAGUACCCAUGCUCUCUGUGGCUCCAAAGGGAAGAACUGAAUCUCAUGUUUGUGCAGUGGAGGGUACACGUUUCAGCUCCCUGUAAGCUCCAUUUAGCGAUGGAGAGCUCUAUCUUGAAGUGACUUACCUACCACUGGAUGGUCACGGCACGAGUACAUAAUGGGCUGUUGUGUUUGUAUAAGAGGAACCCAAAUGUCACUUUGAGAUCCUAUGACCAUCUUCUAGACACAUUCAACAGAAGCAAAAAGGACAAAAGGCAACGUGUGAGAAGGUAUAUUUCACUUUGUUUCCCCACAAUUUUUAUCAAGGAAAGCAGAACCACUCCGAGUAAGAAGAAAACAAAAUUGAAAAAAUAUAUAUAUAAUGAAUAAAUUCAUACCAUAAAUAAAAAUGUAAAGUCUUCCAUAAUCUCAUCACUGUCACAUGACAACUUUUUCAUUGCUCUGUAUUCACAGAAAACAUAUAAUUUUCAGGGUUUGUGAUUUUUGCACAGUUGUAAUCAUGGUGCAUAGAAGGUUGAAUAAAAAUCAAGUGUUUUGAGCUUCUCUUCAAAUGAUUAGGACUAGAAGCACUCUUUAGUCUUACUUUAUGUGGGAAUUAAUAAUACUAGAUAGCAUACUAUUUAUUAAUAGAUGUAUAUCAAUAGUAGGCUUUUGUACACACCGUUAUGAAUAAAUAACUUGCUUAUUUCCUGCUGGCAAUUCUUUUUGGUCUCAUGUUACUUACUGCAUAUUUUUAUAAACCAGGGGUCCAUGGCCGGGCCUCAGGGGGACU